RNAcentral lists this long non-coding RNA (806 nucleotides) under Salvator merianae (Argentine black and white tegu). RNAcentral's name for it is "lncRNA (ENSSMRG00000004556.1)". The record is from RNAcentral. Lineage: Eukaryota; Metazoa; Chordata; Lepidosauria; Squamata; Teiidae.
UCAUCCCAUAUUUGCUAACAUUGCUUUCCUUUCUCCUUCUACACCAGUCUGAAUACAGCUAACUGUCCUGAAAGAAUGAGACUUAGAAAGCAUGUUGAGCUUUUCUUGUUUUGUUUUUGCUCGAGUCAGAUUUCUUUAAAAAAAAUUCAGGAUCCAUGCUCACGUAGGUUCAUGGCACGGAUGAGUUUGUAAGUUACACUGUAUCAGAAAGGGAGAGAUGGGAUGGUGUUUAAUUCCAUAAAUACAGCCAUCUGUGCCCUCCCCUGUAUAUGUCUCUGUCUUCUCAAUCCCCACCCCAUAUACACUCUUGGCUUAAGUUUUUACAGGGAUUUGAUGCUUUCCAGGGGCACAGUCAGCACAAAUCUAAUCGGCAUCAAUUAAUAACAGAAUAAUAAAACUGGUAGGUGGCAGCAGAAGAAGGAGCUAAUGCAGAUGGCAUCCGUGAACUGAGAGUGCUGCCAUAUGCGGAGAGAUGGAUUCCAAACAUUAGAUGAUGUAACGUGCAAAGAUGAAAGGCAGCUUCCUGGCUUGUCAGUCUGCAUGAGUUUUGAUGCUAGAUCCCCAGCUCUGAAGACUGAAGCGGUCUUGUCCCAGGAAAGGUUCUGUGACGCAUCCAAAGACCUUCCUCCUUGCAUCUUUUGUGUGUUGUGUUCCUUGAACUUUAUUUCUUCAGUUCUGAAGGGAAUGAGUCAGGUUGGCAUAAUAUCCAGAGAAUGAAACGAAACGGCAGCUGUCAUAACAAUGAAUUCAUCACGUAAUGGACAAAGCUCAAUAAAUUUUUUGUUUUAAAAUUUGUUUAUUGUGUU